Molecule: non-coding RNA, 567 nt
Organism: Carica papaya (papaya)
Lineage: Eukaryota; Viridiplantae; Streptophyta; Magnoliopsida; Brassicales; Caricaceae
Source: RefSeq, a predicted model, not a curated record
AGUAUAGUUGUUGUGAAGUGCCACAGGGAAGAAUUGGUACCAUGGAUAACUUGAGAAAGAGAGCAAAGCUCAUUAUUUAAUCUGGUUUGAGUAUGAAUCCCCUAACCAUCUUUUUCUAUGGUUUUGGAGGUUAGGAGGUACUGGAAUUCUUUCUAGGUUUCCUUAAUUUAUCUUACUUCACUUUUGGGUUUGGUGGAGAUUGACUAAAGGCUUGGUUGGAAAUUGGAGCAUUGAUCUACAGUUUUAGGCAUAGACCGCUCAGUGGCUGAACACGACUCUAGGGGCCCUUUUUAUUAACGUGUGGCUUGGAUGAGAAACUAACUGGGAGAAAAUGGUAUUGACUUUUGGAAGAUUCUCUGCCCAGGAGCCAGGAUUGCUAAAGGGUCAUAAGCAGAUUUUCUCUGGACAAAAGUAUGCCACUGAUUUCCAAAAGGAGAGGAAUGCUACCAAGAAGAACACAUCUUCACCAGGAGUAACUAGAGAUGUUCUGUUUGUUAGCCACCUGCAACAUGAAGAGUUCGUUAGUAUUUCUGGGCCAGGAAUCUGCCGGAAUAUGAAAAAUAAUUG